Molecule: ribosomal RNA, 253 nt
Filed under: uncultured bacterium
Lineage: Bacteria
Description: partial 16S ribosomal RNA
Rfam family: Bacterial small subunit ribosomal RNA
Source: RNAcentral
UACGGAGGGUGCAAGCGUUGUCCGGAUUUAUUGGGUUUAAAGGGUGCGUAGGCGGCCCGUUAAGUCAGUGGUGAAAUCCCAGGGCUCAACCCUGGAACUGCCAUUGAUACUAUUAGUCUUGAAUUCGGUCGAGGUUGGCGGAAUGUGUCGUGUAGCGGUGAAAUGCUUAGAUAUGACACAGAACACCGAUUGCGAAGGCAGCUAGCUAGACCGACAUUGACGCUGAGGCACGAAAGCGUGGGGAUCAAACAGG